UACGGAGGGGGUUAGCGUUGUUCGGAAUUACUGGGCGUAAAGCGCGCGUAGGCGGAUUGGAAAGUUGGGGGUGAAAUCCCGGGGCUCAACCUCGGAACUGCCUCCAAAACUCCCAGUCUUGAGUUCGAGAGAGGUGAGUGGAACUCCGAGUGUAGAGGUGAAAUUCGUAGAUAUUCGGAAGAACACCAGUGGCGAAGGCGGCUCACUGGCUCGAUACUGACGCUGAGGUGCGAAAGUGUGGGGAGCAAAC
RNAcentral lists this ribosomal RNA (250 nucleotides) under uncultured bacterium. Its description in RNAcentral is "partial 16S ribosomal RNA". It matches the Rfam family "Bacterial small subunit ribosomal RNA", at positions 524 to 773 of the family's 1533-position model. The record is from RNAcentral.